UGAGGGAAAGUUGCAAAGAACUUUGAAGAGAGAGUUCAAGAGUACGUGAAACUGCUCAGAGGCAAACGGGUGGGCCCUCGAAAUCCACAUGCGAGGGGAUUCAGUCGGUGGGCGAAGGGUGGUUGGCGUCCGUCUGCGACCGUGGAGGCGCGCGGAUGCCGACACCUUUAGCCGGCCGACGCACUUCCUCUCGCACUGAGGACGCUGCAGCCGGUUCGGCGUCGGCCAUGAGGACUUGCGAUGGCAGGUGACCAGUUUCCGCCCCGCGGUUUCUGGUUGUUAGCCGGCUCGUCCGAGAGCGCGACGCGGGACCGAGGCGAUGGAACCUUCCGGUUCCGGCCGUGUCCUCGCCACAGCGAGCGGGACGUCUGCGUCAGGGGCUGUGUGGUCGCGAGGGGUGCCACGGUCGACCGUGGCCCUCUCCUUCUGCCCUUCGAUGGGCGUGGUGAUCCCGCGGCGACGGUACGCGGGCUGGCAGCGAGUAGGUCGGUCACCCACCCGACCCGUCUUGAAACACGGACCAAGGAGUCUAACAUGUGCGCGAGUCGCAGAGUCUUGAACAGGCUCUCGGGCGCAAUGAAAGUGAAGGUCGAUCUGGUCGACCGUGUUGGGAAGUGCAGUCUCCGGACGGCACCGCACCAACGACCUGUCCCGUCCGAUUCAUCGGUGGGGCGGAGUCAGAGCGUACACGUUGGGACCCGAAAGAUGGUGAGCUAUGCCCGGGCAGGACGAAGCCAGAGGAAACUCUGGUGGAGGUCCGCAGCGGUUCUGACGUGCAAUCGAUCGUCAGACCUGG
Molecule: ribosomal RNA, 796 nt
Filed under: Belisana nahtanoj
Lineage: Eukaryota; Metazoa; Arthropoda; Arachnida; Araneae; Pholcidae
Description: partial 28S ribosomal RNA
Rfam family: Eukaryotic large subunit ribosomal RNA
Source: RNAcentral